Molecule: small nucleolar RNA, 102 nt
Organism: Malania oleifera
Lineage: Eukaryota; Viridiplantae; Streptophyta; Magnoliopsida; Santalales; Ximeniaceae
Source: RefSeq, a predicted model, not a curated record
CUGCUAUGGACAUUUAUGGCGCAGGUCCCUAAAGCGCUCCCAAGUCUCGAAAAAGAGUUCCCCAUCCAUCUGUGAGAAACUUGUGAUGACUUUUCUAAGCUG